GGAAUUGACGGGGGCCCGCACAUGCGGUGGAGCAUGUGGUUUAAUUAGAAGCAACGCGAAGAACCUUACCAGGUCUUGACAUCCCGUGACAACUCUAGAGAUAGGGCUUUCCCCUUCGGGGGACACGGUGACAGGUGGUGCAUGGUUGUCGUCAGCUCGUGUCGUGAGAUGUUGGGUUAAGUCCCGCAACGAGCGCAACCCUUGAUCUUAGUUGCCAGCAUUAAGUUGGGCACUCUAAGGUGACUGCCGGUGACAAACCGGAGGAAGGUGGGGAUGACGUCAAAUCAUCAUGCCCCUUAUGACCUGGGCUACACACGUGCUACAAUGGAUGGUACAAAGGGCAGCAAAACCGCGAGGUUAAGCCAAUCCCAUAAAACCAUUCUCAGUUCGGAUUGCAGGCUGCAACUCGCCUGCAUGAAGCCGGAAUCGCUAGUAAUCGCGGAUCAGCAUGCCGCGGUGAAUACGUUCCCGGGCCUUGUACACACCGCCCGUCACACCACGAGAGUUUGUAACACCCGAAGUCGGUGGGGUAACCGUAAG
This 540-nucleotide ribosomal RNA is filed under the name Ferdinandcohnia humi. Its description in RNAcentral is "bacterial SSU rRNA". It matches the Rfam family "Bacterial small subunit ribosomal RNA", at positions 906 to 1445 of the family's 1533-position model. Lineage: Bacteria; Bacillati; Bacillota; Bacilli; Caryophanales; Bacillaceae. The record is from RNAcentral.